CCCUUAGAUGUCCUGGGCUGCACGCGCGCUACACUGAUGUGUCCAGUAAGCACCUAACCUCUUCCGAAAGGAACGGGUAACCUUUGCAAAGCACAUCGUGAUGGGGAUAGAUUAUUGCAAUUAUUAGUCUUGGACGAGGAAUUCCUAGUAAGCACAAGUCAUCAGCUUGUGUUGAUUACGUCCCUGCCCUUUGUACACACCGCCCGUCGCUCCUACCGAUUGAAUGUUCCGGUGAGCUCUUCGGACUGCGCGGUCUGCAGUUUCUGCGUUCCGUGCGGAAAGUUGCGCAAACCUUAACAUUUAGAGGAAGGAGAAGUCGUAACA
RNAcentral lists this ribosomal RNA (324 nucleotides) under uncultured eukaryote. Its description in RNAcentral is "partial 18S ribosomal RNA". It matches the Rfam family "Eukaryotic small subunit ribosomal RNA", at positions 1470 to 1796 of the family's 1831-position model. The record is from RNAcentral.